This 343-nucleotide ribosomal RNA is filed under the name Klebsiella quasipneumoniae. RNAcentral describes it as "bacterial SSU rRNA". It matches the Rfam family "Bacterial small subunit ribosomal RNA", at positions 657 to 998 of the family's 1533-position model. The record is from RNAcentral. Lineage: Bacteria; Pseudomonadati; Pseudomonadota; Gammaproteobacteria; Enterobacterales; Enterobacteriaceae.
GGGGGUAGAAUUCCAGGUGUAGCGGUGAAAUGCGUAGAGAUCUGGAGGAAUACCGGUGGCGAAGGCGGCCCCCUGGACAAAGACUGACGCUCAGGUGCGAAAGCGUGGGGAGCAAACAGGAUUAGAUACCCUGGUAGUCCACGCCGUAAACGAUGUCGAUUUGGAGGUUGUGCCCUUGAGGCGUGGCUUCCGGAGCUAACGCGUUAAAUCGACCGCCUGGGGAGUACGGCCGCAAGGUUAAAACUCAAAUGAAUUGACGGGGGCCCGCACAAGCGGUGGAGCAUGUGGUUUUAAUUCGAUGCAACGCGAAGAACCUUACCUGGUCUUGACAUCCACAGAACUU